CUUCAUUACUUUUAUACUCUCUUUGUGCUCUCUCUCUCUCUCUCUCUCUCUCUCUCUCUCUCUCUCUCUCUCUGUUGAUCCGUGACAGCAGAACCAGUGCAAUCUCCACAGCUUCGUCCCCUGGCCACUCCAGUCAGAGUGUGGGGAGACUGGCUCUGAUAGAGGAAAUGAUCGAGAGAAAGACACAACAAAGGAGAGGAAGAGGAACUGCCAGGAGGACGGUGCAGGGUCGCUCAUGAAUGAGACUCGGUCUCAGACCUCGGCUUUGAUGCGCGCCAGAAACAGAGCGGAUUAAACUUAAAGCGCCGAGAAUUCUCACACAGCUGCCCCGGUAACGACGACGACAACAACAACAAGAACUACAACAACGACGACAGGGAACAACAACAAUAACUAAAAGCCAAGCCGUCGCCAUGGUUACCGCAGAAAAGAAUGCUUAAUAGCGCCGACAGCAACAGUGAAACAACAAUGGAGGUGAAAAUCUGACGGGUGGGAGGAUAAGGGGAUGAAUAGAGCGAGGGGUCGCUGGGUUGCAGGAGCCACGGAUUGAGCGGAUGAGUGUGUGUCUGUGACGGCGCAGUGGUGUGUGUGUGUGUGUGUGUGUGUGUUGUAAUCCGUCUCGCCGCGCCUUGUUAGGGUCCGUCAGAACACAUCCGGAUAAACGUCCCCAGGAAAAUAAUGGCCAAAGAGAAGGAGGCCAGCACUCUGGAGGCACACAGAGAGAAAGGAGGCUUUACAAACAGAGCUGCAGCUCAGCUGGCUCAGGGUAGGAUGAAGGUGUCAGAGGCCUGACCGCAGUGGCCUGUGGCUGGGACACGGGUGCAGCAGAGCUGGCUGGAGAGGGCCUGGAGGCUUUGGAGGACUAUUUGGUGCUAAUGCACUCCGGUGACCCUGCUUAGCCCGGUCCCCACAUCACUGGGGCUGGACCACUGAUAGACAUACGAGAGACGACUGAGAGAGAGAGAGAGAGAAGGACUGAGAGACAUCAGAGAGACGACUGAGAGAGAGAGAGAGGACUGAGAGAGAGAGAGAGAAGGACUGAGAGACAUCAGAGAGACGACUGAGAAGGACUGAGGGACGGUGAGAGAGAGAGAAGGACUGAGAGAGAGAGAAGGACUGAGAAAGAGAGAGAGAAGGACUGAGAGACAUCAGAGAGACGACUGAGAGAGAGAGAGAGGGGGA
Long non-coding RNA from Clupea harengus (Atlantic herring), 1182 nucleotides. NCBI's taxonomy places the organism in Eukaryota, Metazoa, Chordata, Actinopteri, Clupeiformes, Clupeidae. The record is from Ensembl.